Molecule: non-coding RNA, 213 nt
Filed under: Psychroflexus torquis
Lineage: Bacteria; Pseudomonadati; Bacteroidota; Flavobacteriia; Flavobacteriales; Flavobacteriaceae
Source: RNAcentral
AAUUUUGCGACGCAUUUUGGUUCUCAAAGGUGUAUUUCAACUUUUGAAGAUUAAAAGGGAAUUUCGUUAAAAUCGAAAGCUGUUCCCGCAACUGUGCGCUUUGUACGCUUUGUGCGUAUGCUUUACUUUAAAACUUUAUAACCACUGUCUGUUAAGAUGGGAAGGUUAAGUAAAGACGCAAGCCAGGAGACCUGCCUCAAUGUAUAAUUUAAA